Molecule: ribosomal RNA, 427 nt
Filed under: uncultured bacterium
Lineage: Bacteria
Description: partial 16S ribosomal RNA
Rfam family: Bacterial small subunit ribosomal RNA
Source: RNAcentral
UGGGGAAUAUUGCACAAUGGGCGCAAGCCUGAUGCAGCCAUGCCGCGUGUAUGAAGAAGGCCUUCGGGUUGUAAAGUACUUUCAGCGAGGAGGAAGGCGGUAAGGUUAAUAACCUUAUCGAUUGACGUUACUCGCAGAAGAAGCACCGGCUAACUCCGUGCCAGCAGCCGCGGUAAUACGGAGGGUGCAAGCGUUAAUCGGAAUUACUGGGCGUAAAGCGCACGCAGGCGGUCUGUCAAGUCGUAUGUGAAAUCCCCGGGCUCAACGGGGGAACUGCAUUCGAAACUGGCAGGCUAGAGUCUUGUAGAGGGGGGUAGAAUUCCAGGUGUAGCGGUGAAAUGCGUAGAGAUCUGGAGGAAUACCGGUGGCGAAGGCGGCCCCCUGGACAAAGACUGACGCUCAGGUGCGAAAGCGUGGGGAGCAAACA